AUACGGAGGGUGCAAGCGUUAAUCGGAAUUACUGGGCGUAAAGCGCGCGUAGGCGGUUUUUUAAGUCGGAUGUGAAAGCCCCGGGCUCAACCUGGGAACUGCAUCCGAUACUGGAUAACUAGAAUGCGGGAGAGGGAGGUAGAAUUCCAUGUGUAGCAGUGAAAUGCGUAGAUAUAUGGAGGAAUACCAGUGGCGAAGGCGGCCUCCUGGCUCGACAUUGACGCUGAGGUGCGAAAGCGUGGGGAGCAAACGGGAUUAGAUACCCCGGUAGUCCACGCCGUAAACGAUGUCUACUAGCUGUAGGGGUACUUGAGACCUUUGUAGCGCAGCUAACGCAAUAAGUAGACCGCCUGGGGGAGUACGGCCGCAAGGUUAAAACUCAAAUGAAUUGACGGGGGCCCGCACAAGCAGUGGAGCAUGUGUUUAAUUCGAUGCAACGCGAAGAACCUUACCAGCCUUGACAUCCCCGGAACUUUCUAGAGAUAG
RNAcentral lists this ribosomal RNA (486 nucleotides) under uncultured Gammaproteobacteria bacterium. Its description in RNAcentral is "bacterial SSU rRNA". It matches the Rfam family "Bacterial small subunit ribosomal RNA", at positions 523 to 1009 of the family's 1533-position model. Lineage: Bacteria; Pseudomonadati; Pseudomonadota; Gammaproteobacteria. The record is from RNAcentral.